This 635-nucleotide unclassified non-coding RNA is filed under the name Hevea brasiliensis (rubber tree). The record is from RNAcentral. Lineage: Eukaryota; Viridiplantae; Streptophyta; Magnoliopsida; Malpighiales; Euphorbiaceae.
GGGAAGUUUAUGGAGAGGUGAUUUUAGUAUGAAUUCCACGCGAGUUCCAAGCUUUUAAAGGUUUAUACAUUUAUAUCAAGAACAUUGCUCAAUGGUUGCAUCUUGCAUGAUGUGAUAGUGAUAAGUGUGCAGGUGCAAGCUCAUUUCAACUGGCAUUUUUAGAUCAGAAGAGCACAAACACAAUGCCACUGCUGCCAGCUACUUUCUCCAGAACGUAGUACGACCUGUGAGCAAAUAAUUCACCACCCAGUUUAAAUAAUUGGUAAUGUUAACAGUUUUAUGGUUGAAUAUUUAUCUCAUGAUCUAAAACUACUGAAACUCAACUUGCCUUAUGGUUGGCUCCUAAGAUUUUUUGACUUCCUAAAAUGACUAUAGAGAAAUAGGAGAAAUGAAGUUUUGGAUUUUUAUCCAAGUACUAAUCUUUGCUAUUGGUUUUCAGGCCGGUCAAAAAUUUCUUACAAGGCUGGAUCUCCAUGGUGGAGAUGCAGAAUUGCUUAGAAUUGGGACGAGUUACCGACUGGAAUAUUUUUUUUUUACAGCUAUUACUUUGGGUCAAUCAAGAUAUGACUCAUGUUCAAAAGGUUCUUAAUUACCAUCGUUGCAGAGUUAACUCAUCUCCAAGGUGAUUCUUUUUC